RNAcentral lists this transfer RNA (71 nucleotides) under Phrynosoma platyrhinos (Desert horned lizard). RNAcentral's name for it is "tRNA-OTHER". Lineage: Eukaryota; Metazoa; Chordata; Lepidosauria; Squamata; Phrynosomatidae. The record is from RNAcentral.
GUCAGCAUGGUGUAGUGGUUUGAAUGUUGGACUAGGACUCUGGAGACCAGGGUUCGAAUUCCAGGUUGGCC